Molecule: long non-coding RNA, 1657 nt
Organism: Vidua macroura (Pin-tailed whydah)
Lineage: Eukaryota; Metazoa; Chordata; Aves; Passeriformes; Viduidae
Exons: 7
Source: RefSeq, a predicted model, not a curated record
GGGCCGGGCCGGGCCGGGCCUGAGGCGAGCCGGGCCCGCGGCGGAUGGGCGAGGCUCUUUGCGGACCAGCGGGCCGGAGACGGGUUGUGCCUUUCGCGGCCGUGCUGCAGAGGAGGGUGUCAGCCCCAGAGCCGCCAGCAGCCCCUCAGAGCCCCCCGGCUCCUCUGCCAGAGCCAGCUGUACCGGGUCUGGGGCAGGGGGGCGGCUCAUCUGGCGCUGGGGACACCACAGAGGUCUGGGGCUGACACCACCUGCCGCUGGUGGCGCCGACUGACAGGUGUCUGGGAGGGUACACUUCUGCAGCUCAGUGAUGAUGUGUCUGAUUGUGAGAAACAUGUGCUGAGUACAGUCAGUGUCUUCCAGAGGAACAUGGGAUGAUGGCACCUUCAUUAUCAAUGUGGGCAAGACAAAGAUGCAAAUGAUGCAGAAAGACAGAAGGGUGCACUAAGGCUGCUGCAAAAUGGAAGAAGCAAAAAUAGGAAGAAAGAUUGAGGGGACCACACAAGUGUGAGAUCAGGACAUGUAGGAAGUCAGAAGGAUGGAGGAUCUGGCAUGAUAACAACUGAAGUAUUGACUAAAAAGCCCAAUGUCCAUCGAAACCUGGAGCUCCUGACUUGGGUCCCGAGUUGCAGCGAGCACUGGGAGGGCAGCAGUGAGAGCAAUGCCUUUGGCCCAUCCACUGACAUGAAUUUCUACCUUCUGUCUGUGCAGGAAUGCACAGAAUUUCCAAGCUCCCACAUGUAUGUUACAUAGAUCAGAAAAAUUCAUGGUCCUGUCAGAGACAAAAAAUAGCAGUGAGUCCUGUGAAGGCAGUAGUGUGAUCCUUGUUUUAGAGAUGACAAAACAGAGGCAUGACGAGGCAGAGCUUUAGCACCUCUGGGGAAGUAAUGGCUGUUUUGUUUACAAUGGGUAGCCUGUAUCCAGUUCUUCCUUCCCAAAGUCCAUUUGUGCUGUAGAGAAUAUGUAGGGAUUGUGAAUGUACUCGUAAGUAGCAUUCCACAGUUGAACUAAUUGCCAGGCCAAGCGAGGGACCACAGUAAAUGGGUGAAUAAUUUGAUCCAAGAUGGAUUUGUACUCUACCAACACAGCCUGAAAUCUUCUAAUGCUUUUGGAUUUGACUGUGAGCUGUUCAUUGUUGUUUGAGCCUGUUCUUUUCUAUUACCAUAUUUUCUCUGGAUAUCAUUUCUGUGUACCUUAUCUUUGUAUAAAAGGCCACAUCUUUACCAUAUUUCCAGGGAGUAGUCAGUAUAGGCAUACAAAAUUUACUGCUGUAGACCAAAAUAUGACAGAUAAAGGUAGUGCAUUACAAAGUUCUUGCCCUCAAUCAUACAGAAGCCUCUCUAUGCUUCUGUGAGCAGUGGCACAAAUGUGGCUGCACUGUAAUGGGAGAAGGGUUAACAGCAAACCAAGACACUUUCUACAGCAAAAAGAGAUGGAAUCUUCUCCAAGCAAUUACCUUGUAUGUAAUAAACAAUGUCAGUGGUCAAUAGAGGGAGUUUUCUUACCCUAAUCCCCUUUCAUUUAGCUUAAAAUAGAAGUACUAUUAGUUUGACUAGCAGGUUGGUGUACCAUGAAGCCUGGUCAUCCCUAGUUGAAGGCUAAAUUUAACUGCUAGCAGAAAGGUUGCUCCAGUAGCUUUUGUCUAUGCUUUCCUUGA